RNAcentral lists this ribosomal RNA (433 nucleotides) under uncultured bacterium. RNAcentral describes it as "partial 16S ribosomal RNA". It matches the Rfam family "Bacterial small subunit ribosomal RNA", at positions 29 to 507 of the family's 1533-position model. The record is from RNAcentral.
AACGAACGCUGGCGGCAGGCCUAACACAUGCAAGUCGAGCGAGGACUUCGGUUCUAGCGGCGGACGGGUGAGUAACGCGUGGGAAUGUGCCCUUCUCUACGGAAUAGCCCUGGGAAACUGGGAGUAAUACCGUAUACGCCCUUUUGGGGAAAGAUUUAUCGGAGAAGGAUCAGCCCGCGUUGGAUUAGGUAGUUGGUGGGGUAAUGGCCUACCAAGCCGACGAUCCAUAGCUGGUUUGAGAGGAUGAUCAGCCACACUGGGACUGAGACACGGCCCAGACUCCUACGGGGGGCAGCAGUGGGGAAUCUUAGACAAUGGGGGCAACCCUGAUCUAGCCAUGCCGCGUGAGUGAUGAAGGCCUUAGGGUUGUAAAGCUCUUUCAGCUGGGAAGAUAAUGACGGUACCAGCAGAAGAAGCCCCGGCUAACUCCGUG